Oncorhynchus keta (chum salmon) is the source of this 686-nucleotide long non-coding RNA. RefSeq lists it as uncharacterized. NCBI's taxonomy places the organism in Eukaryota, Metazoa, Chordata, Actinopteri, Salmoniformes, Salmonidae. The record is from RefSeq and is a predicted model, not a curated record. The transcript is spliced from 2 exons.
UAGGUUUAUUUAUCCUCUCUGAGACCGUCUGGUCCUUUGGUAGGUUUAUUUAUCCUCUCUGAGACCGUCUGGUCCUUUGGUAGGUUUAUUUAUCCUCUCUGAGACCGUCUGGUCCUUUGGUAGGUUUAUUUAUCCUCUCUGAGACCGUCGUGCAUGGUCAGACACUGAGCUUCUUCAACUUAGAAAAUGUAUACUAGAGGUAUGAUGAAUUAAUGUUGAAUCCUCUCCUCCCCUCCUCACCUCUCCUACAGGUGUGUUUAUGUGGGAGGUGUAUACUGAGGGGCGUCUGCCCUAUGAGAACCGGUCUAAUGGUGAGGUGGUGGAGGCCCUGAAUGCAGGCCUGAGGCUGCUGAAACCCAGACAGGCCCCAGAGGCUGUGCACCUCCUCAUGGAGUGGUGCUGGAAGGAGAAACCAGAGGACCGUCCAUCCUUUGCUCUCCUGCUGCACGAGCUGGCCUCUCUCUCAGAUCUCUGAGCCUGAAUAGACAAGCUAUUCAACCAAACCUAGUCUGCUAACUAGCUAUCCGGGGUAAAUCAUGGAAUAAUCAUUUGCUCAAUAAAACUGAAGAUACGAUACAAAAAAGACUUAGCUAGCUGUAUUUAUGUUAUUUAUUCAUUUCCUUCUAGUUUCUAUUUCUUACUUUUUUUUAUAGCAACCAUCUUUUUUUAUAAAAUGAAGAAGUCUA